Molecule: unclassified non-coding RNA, 306 nt
Filed under: uncultured fungus
Lineage: Eukaryota; Fungi
Description: sequence contains ITS1
Rfam family: 5.8S ribosomal RNA (bases 1-105)
Source: RNAcentral
GAAAUGUGAUAAGUAGUGUGAAUUGCAGAAUUCAGUGAAUCAUCGAAUCUUUGAACGCACAUUGCGCCCUUUGGUAUUCCUUAGGGCAUGCCUGUUUGAGCGUCAUUUAAACCCUUAAGCUUAGCUUGGUGUUGGGCGUCUGUCCCCCCUACUACGUGGGCGGGGACUCGCCUCAAAUUGAUUGGCGGCUGGUACGUUGGCUUUGAGCGCAGCAGAAACGCGAACUCGGGCCCUAGCGAGCUGGCUCCUACAAGCUAUACUCCUAAUUUUGACCUUGGAUUAGGUAGGGAUACCCGCUGAACUUAA